UUGUUUCGUUAAGGUAACAAGACGUUCGUUACGCAAUGUUUGUAUUGUAAAAAAAUCGACCCAAAAGGCCAAAUAACGGUUCACAGAGGUGUCAGGAUUAAAAGGGUGAAAAGGCCUAACGGCCAAUCAUUAAUGAUCCUUCCGCAGGUUCACCUACGGAAA
RNAcentral lists this unclassified non-coding RNA (162 nucleotides) under uncultured fungus. RNAcentral describes it as "sequence contains ITS1". The record is from RNAcentral. Lineage: Eukaryota; Fungi.